UGGGGAAUUUUGGACAAUGGGCGAAAGCCUGAUCCAGCAAUGCCGCGUGUGUGAAGAAGGCCUUCGGGUUGUAAAGCACUUUUGUCCGGAAAGAAAUCCUUGGCUCUAAUACAGUCGGGGGAUGACGGUACCGGAAGAAUAAGCACCGGCUAACUACGUGCCAGCAGCCGCGGUAAUACGUAGGGUGCAAGCGUUAAUCGGAAUUACUGGGCGUAAAGCGUGCGCAGGCGGUUUGCUAAGACCGAUGUGAAAUCCCCGGGCUCAACCUGGGAACUGCAUUGGUGACUGGCAGGCUAGAGUAUGGCAGAGGGGGGUAGAAUUCCACGUGUAGCAGUGAAAUGCGUAGAGAUGUGGAGGAAUACCGAUGGCGAAGGCAGCCCCCUGGGCCAAUACUGACGCUCAUGCACGAAAGCGUGGGGAGCAAACAGGAUUAGAUACCCCUGGUGAGCCACGCCCUAAAACGAUGUCAACUAGUUGUUGGGGAUUCAUUUCCUUAGUAACGUAGCUAACGCGUGAAGUUGACCGCCUGGGGAGUACGGUCGCAAGAUUAAAACUUAAAUGAAUUGACGGGGUCAUAGCU
This 580-nucleotide ribosomal RNA is filed under the name uncultured bacterium. RNAcentral describes it as "partial 16S ribosomal RNA". It matches the Rfam family "Bacterial small subunit ribosomal RNA", at positions 355 to 926 of the family's 1533-position model. The record is from RNAcentral.